GAUGAAGAACGUAGCGAAAUGCGAUAAGUAAUGUGAAUUGCAGAGUUCAGUGAAUCAUCGAAUCUUUGAACGCACAUUGCGCCCGCUGGUAUUCCGGCGGGCAUGCCUGUUCGAGCGUCAUUUCAACCCUCAAGCCCCCGGGUUUGGUGUUGGGGAUCGGCUCUGCCCUUCUGGGCGGUGCCGCCCCCGAAAUACAUUGGCGGUCUCGCUGCAGCCUCCAUUGCGUAGUAGCUAACACCUCGCAACUGGAACGCGGCGCGGCCAUGCCGUAAAACCCCAACUUCUGAAUGUUGACCUCGGAUCAGGUAGGAAUACCCGCUGAACUUAAGCAUAUCAAUAAGCGGAGGA
RNAcentral lists this unclassified non-coding RNA (348 nucleotides) under soil metagenome. Its description in RNAcentral is "partial contains 5.8S ribosomal RNA, internal transcribed spacer 2, and large subunit ribosomal RNA". The stretch from base 1 to 120 matches the Rfam family "5.8S ribosomal RNA", at positions 35 to 154 of the family's 154-position model. The record is from RNAcentral.